This 30-nucleotide non-coding RNA is filed under the name Mus musculus (house mouse). Lineage: Eukaryota; Metazoa; Chordata; Mammalia; Rodentia; Muridae. The record is from RNAcentral.
UGCAACAGAUGCAAUUCAUUGGUUCUAGUC